RNAcentral lists this transfer RNA (90 nucleotides) under Kordiimonas lacus. RNAcentral describes it as "tRNA_Ser_GGA". It matches the Rfam family "tRNA". From Rfam's summary of the family: Transfer RNA (tRNA) molecules are approximately 80 nucleotides in length. Their secondary structure includes four short double-helical elements and three loops (D, anti-codon, and T loops). RNAcentral also lists the same sequence under 3 other names. Lineage: Bacteria; Pseudomonadati; Pseudomonadota; Alphaproteobacteria; Kordiimonadales; Kordiimonadaceae. The record is from RNAcentral.
GGAGUCGUGGCCGAGCGGUUUAAGGCGCACGCCUGGAAAGCGUGUUGGGUGGCAACGCCCUCGAGGGUUCGAAUCCCUCCGACUCCGCCA